GAUGAACGCUGGCGGCGUGCCUAAUACAUGCAAGUCGAGCGAACAGACGAGGAGCUUGCUCCUCUGACGUUAGCGGCGGACGGGUGAGUAACACGUGGAUAACCUACCUAUAAGACUGGGAUAACUUCGGGAAACCGGAGCUAAUACCGGAUAAUAUAUUGAACCGCAUGGUUCAAUAGUGAAAGACGGUUUUGCUGUCACUUAUAGAUGGAUCCGCGCCGCAUUAGCUAGUUGGUAAGGUAACGGCUUACCAAGGCAACGAUGCGUAGCCGACCUGAGAGGGUGAUCGGCCACACUGGAACUGAGACACAGUCCAGACUCCUACGGGAGGCAGCAGUAGGGAAUCUUCCGCAAUGGGCGAAAGCCUGACGGAGCAACGCCGCGUGAGUGAUGAAGGUCUUCGGAUCGUAAAACUCUGUUAUUAGAGAAGAACAAAUGUGUAAGUAACUAUGCACGUCUUGACGGUACCUAAUCAGAAAGCCACGGCUAACUACGUG
Molecule: ribosomal RNA, 497 nt
Filed under: uncultured bacterium
Lineage: Bacteria
Description: partial 16S ribosomal RNA
Rfam family: Bacterial small subunit ribosomal RNA
Source: RNAcentral